CCCUUAGACACUCUAGGCGGCACGCGCGCUACAAUGGGUGGAAGAACGUGUUACUGCCUCCGAAAGGAGGGGUGAAUCACGAAUUCUUGCCCGUGAAUGGGAUAGUUUGUUGCAAUUUUCGGACUUGAACUAGGAAUCCCUUGUAAACAUGCUCAAGAAUAGCGUGUUGAAUACGUCCCUGCCGUUUGUACACACCGCCCGUCGUUUCUUCCGACUGAUACUCAUUGUGAGUUGCAAGGACCCUUUAUUGGGAAAUUGCUGCAAAUGCUUUGUAUUGGAGGAAGAAAAANUCGUAACA
RNAcentral lists this ribosomal RNA (298 nucleotides) under uncultured eukaryote. RNAcentral's name for it is "partial 18S ribosomal RNA". It matches the Rfam family "Eukaryotic small subunit ribosomal RNA", at positions 1470 to 1796 of the family's 1831-position model. The record is from RNAcentral.